GAUGAACGCUGGCGGCGUGCCUAAUACAUGCAAGUCGAGCGAACAGACGAGGAGCUUGCCCCUCUAACGUUAGCGGCGGACGGGUGAGUAACACGUGGAUAACCUACCUAUAAGACUGGGAUAACUUCGGGAAACCGGAGCUAAUACCGGAUAAUAUAUUGAACCGCAUGGUUCAAUAGUGAAAGACGGUUUUGCUGUCACUUAUAGAUGGAUCCGCGCCGCAUUAGCUAGUUGGUAAGGUAACAGCUUACCAAGGCAACGAUGCGUAGCCGACCUGAGAGGGUGAUCGGCCACACUGGAACUGAGACACGGUCCAGACUCCUACGGGAGGCAGCAGUAGGGAAUCUUCCGCAAUGGGCGAAAGCCUGACGGAGCAACGCCGCGUGAGUGAUGAAGGUCUUCGGAUCGUAAAACUCUGUUAUUAGGGAAGAACAAAUGUGUAAGUAACUAUGCACGUCUUGACGGUACCUAAUCAGAAAGCCACGGCGAACUACGU
Molecule: ribosomal RNA, 496 nt
Filed under: uncultured bacterium
Lineage: Bacteria
Description: partial 16S ribosomal RNA
Rfam family: Bacterial small subunit ribosomal RNA
Source: RNAcentral